CAGUAGCCGCGGGAAUACGUAGGGUGCAAGCGUUAAUCGGAAUUACUGGGCGUAAAGCGUGCGUAGGCGGUGAGUUAAGUCUGCUGUGAAAUCCCCGGGCUCAACCUGGGAAUGGCAGUGGAUACUGGCUCGCUAGAGUGUGUCAGAGGAUGGUGGAAUUCCCGGUGUAGCGGUGAAAUGCGUAGAGAUCGGGAGGAACAUCAGUGGCGAAGGCGGCCAUCUGGGACAACACUGACGCUGAGGCACGAAAGCGUGGGGAGCAAACAGGAUUAGAUACCCCGGUAGUCCCUGUCUCUUAUAC
This 301-nucleotide ribosomal RNA is filed under the name uncultured bacterium. Its description in RNAcentral is "partial 16S ribosomal RNA". It matches the Rfam family "Bacterial small subunit ribosomal RNA", at positions 509 to 807 of the family's 1533-position model. The record is from RNAcentral.